Molecule: long non-coding RNA, 441 nt
Organism: Oncorhynchus tshawytscha (Chinook salmon)
Lineage: Eukaryota; Metazoa; Chordata; Actinopteri; Salmoniformes; Salmonidae
Source: Ensembl
GAAACAUUUGUAAAAUAUUCAAGCAUUGUGCAUGGCUGACAGGACUGAAUCAGUUGUGCGUGGCUAAGAGGACAGAGUCAGGUGUGUGUGGCUGAGAGGACAGAGUCAGGUGUGCGUGGCUGAGAGGACAGAGUCAGGUGUGCGUGGCUGAGAGGACAGAGUCAGGUGUGCGUGGCUGAGAGGACAGAGUCAGGUGUGCGUGGCUGAGAGGACAGAAUCAGGUGUGCGUGGCUGAGAGGACAGAAUCAGUUGUGCGUGGCUGAGAGGGCAGAAUCAGGUGUGUGUGGCUGAGAGGACAGAGUCAGGUGUGUGUGGCUGAGAGGACAGAAUCAGGUGUUUGUCUGUGUAUGUGUCAGGUGAUAGUGUACUGACUGUACGCAGAGUGUAGGGAGGGCUCUCCUCUCAUCUCCUUAUGUAUGUGUCCCCUGACUCCACUCCGGC